RNAcentral lists this ribosomal RNA (253 nucleotides) under uncultured bacterium. Its description in RNAcentral is "partial 16S ribosomal RNA". It matches the Rfam family "Bacterial small subunit ribosomal RNA", at positions 524 to 776 of the family's 1533-position model. The record is from RNAcentral.
UACGUAGGAUGCAAGCGUUGUUCGGAAUUAUUGGGUGUAAAGGGCGCGUAGGUGGCCCUGUAAGUCAUGGGUGAAAUCCCUCGGCUCAACCGAGGAAUUGCCUAUGAUACUGCAGGGCUUGAGUACGGGAGAGGGAAGUGGAAUUCCUGGUGUAGCGGUGAAAUGCGUAGAUAUCAGGAGGAACACCGGUGGCGAAGGCGGCUUCCUGGACCGAUACUGACACUGAGGCGCGAAAGCGUGGGUAGCAAACAGG